Long non-coding RNA from Rosa chinensis, 1032 nucleotides. RefSeq lists it as uncharacterized. Lineage: Eukaryota; Viridiplantae; Streptophyta; Magnoliopsida; Rosales; Rosaceae. The transcript is spliced from 3 exons. The record is from RefSeq and is a predicted model, not a curated record.
AAGGAUCGAGAUCGCGUCCAGAGGCUUCGAGGUCUCCCAACUCGAAACCGAGAGCCAGAAACCUGAUCCCCAAACUCGACCUGUGCUCCACCGUCAGGCCGCCUCAGGCCGGCGCACGAGCACCAUCCUCUUCGUCUCGCUGUCGUCUACGUUCCUGUGGCCUCGGAUCAUACAUGCAGCGACUGUGAACGGAGAAUCGACGAUCCAAAGCUUGAAGAACCUCCGGCGAGUUUCAACGAAUUUCGGGGACUCCGCCCACCGUUUGGGGUGCAUGUGUUCUCCGACAUCGUUGGUUUUCCGGCACUUCUGUUUCUGGCUCAACUGCAUCUAUAGGCGAGGACUGACCUUGAUUGAAGUUAAAGUCUGGAAAUUUUGAGUUGGUGUGUGUCAGGUCGUACUUCAUCACUAGUUGAGCUUCGUCGAGUUUCCAGAAAACGUUGAGGAUCAAAAUAAGAAACUUUGAGUUGUGGACGUUGAGGCUUGGAUUGCCAGUCAUCACCGAGUUCUUAGGUGCUGCGAGGGAAUUGGGAUUUACCUUGUAGAUUGUCAAUCAAAUUGGAGAAUCAUCUCUCAAGAUUGGAUUGCAGCUUUUGGAAAAGCUUCUUCGGACUUGAAAUGAGUUUCUGUCAAUUUCUUCCCGUGUGUGUGUUUUUUUUUUUUUUUGAGAAUGAUUCUUGUGUGUUUUGGUUUGUAUGAAGAUGGAAAAUAAUAAAAGUUGGAGUUGUUGCUGGGUUUCGGUAGCAAAGGAAAAGGAAGAAGGAGAUGACAAAAUAAAUAUUUUUUUCAGGUGGCUUUUUUCUGUGAGCUGGGCAAAUGUCUAACCAAAUUUGUUUCCAUGGAGAGCAGGUCACCCGGUUAGCAUUUUCAACCAUCAGAUUUCAGAGUUGAUAUUCGGCGGUCCAUAUUAUGCUGACGUGCCCAGGCAUGGCAAGCUCGGAGCAUUGUAGAAUUUUCGUUGCAGUGUGGCAAGUAAAGUUAAAAAAAAAAAAAAAAAAAAAAAAAAAAAAAAGAGCCAGAAAGCGAGAUCAUUAA